GUGGGGAAUUUUGGACAAUGGGCGCAAGCCUGAUCCAGCAAUGCCGCGUGCAGGAAGAAGGCCUUCGGGUUGUAAACUGCUUUUGUACGGAACGAAACGGUCCUGGUUAAUACCCGGGGCUAAUGACGGUACCGUAAGAAUAAGCACCGGCUAACUACGUGCCAGCAGCCGCGGUAAUACGUAGGGUGCAAGCGUUAAUCGGAAUUACUGGGCGUAACGCGUGCGCAGGCGGUGCUGUAAGACAGGCGUGAAAUCCCCGGGCUUAACCUGGGAAUUGCGCUUGUGACUGCAGUGCUGGAGUGCGGCAGAGGGGGAUGGAAUUCCGCGUGUAGCAGUGAAAUGCGUAGAUAUGCGGAGGAACACCGAUGGCGAAGGCAAUCCCCUGGGCCUGCACUGACGCUCAUGCACGAAAGCGUGGGGAGCAAACAGGAUUAGAUACCCUAGUAGUCC
This 450-nucleotide ribosomal RNA is filed under the name uncultured bacterium. RNAcentral describes it as "partial 16S ribosomal RNA". It matches the Rfam family "Bacterial small subunit ribosomal RNA", at positions 354 to 796 of the family's 1533-position model. The record is from RNAcentral.